GUAGUUAGCCGGCGCUUCUUCUGCAGGUACCGUCACUUUCGCUUCUUCCCUGCUGAAAGAGGUUUACAACCCGAAGGCCGUCAUCCCUCACGCGGCGUCGCUGCAUCAGGCUUGCGCCCAUUGUGCAAUAUUCCCCACUGCUGCCUCCCGUAGGAGUCUGGACCGUGUCUCAGUUCCAGUGUGGCCGAUCAGCCUCUCAGCUCGGCUACCCAUCGUUGGCUUGGUGGGCCGUUACCUCACCAACUACCUAAUGGGACGCGAACCCCUCUUAAAGCGGAUUGCUCCUUUGACCUCAUCCCGAUGCCGGGUCGUGGUCUUAUGCGGUAUUAGCACUUGUUUCCAGGUGUUAUCCCCCUCUUUAAGGCAGGUUGUUCACGCGUUACUCACCCGUUCGCCACUAAGUACAAAACCGAAUCUUGUACUCCGUUCGACUUGCAUGUGUUAGGCACGCCGCCAGCGUUCGUCCUGAGCCAGAAUCGAACCCUGA
Molecule: ribosomal RNA, 487 nt
Filed under: uncultured bacterium
Lineage: Bacteria
Description: partial 16S ribosomal RNA
Source: RNAcentral